Choloepus didactylus (southern two-toed sloth) is the source of this 402-nucleotide long non-coding RNA. RefSeq lists it as uncharacterized. The transcript is spliced from 3 exons. The record is from RefSeq and is a predicted model, not a curated record. Lineage: Eukaryota; Metazoa; Chordata; Mammalia; Pilosa; Megalonychidae.
AGAAAGGACACUGUCUACUCCGCCCAUGAGAACCAAACAUGCUCGCUCUCCCAGCUUCACAAAGAGAAAACGAGUCCAAGAGGAAAUCACUUCACAACAAUCCCCACCCCCCCGGAUUCUGCUGGCAUUACUGGAUUCCCCUUUGAUGGUGAAAGAAUCAGAUCAAUGAAGGCAUCAGAGGAUUCAUCUGACAGGAUCUUUUCUUCAUCAUUAUCAAUUGUCAGAGCUUUUGAAAAACAGGAUGGAUUGAUGUCCCCCUCUUUUUUCUCUUCUGGUGUUCCUUUUGUUUUAUCUUCAUGUUUCUGGCAGUUUCAUUUUGAACAUCAGGAAUGACAUGCGGUGAGAACGUGUCCUUUCCUUCAAUUGCAAUCAUAGCUAUGAGAGCAUUUGGAAAAUUAUAAA